AUUGAACGCUGGCGGCAUGCCUUACACAUGCAAGUCGAACGGUAACAGGUCUUCGGAUGCUGACGAGUGGCGAACGGGUGAGUAAUAUAUCGGAACGUGCCCAGUCGUGGGGGAUAACGCAGCGAAAGCUGUGCUAAUACCGCAUACGAUCUAUGGAUGAAAGCGGGGGAUCGCAAGACCUCGCGCGAUUGGAGCGGCCGAUAUCAGAUUAGGUAGUUGGUGGGGUAAAGGCCCACCAAGCCAACGAUCUGUAGCUGGUCUGAGAGGACGACCAGCCACACUGGAACUGAGACACGGUCCAGACUCCUACGGGAGGCAGCAGUGGGAAUUUUGGACAAUGGGCGCAAGCCUGAUCCAGCAAUGCCGCGUGCAGGAUGAAGGCCUUCGGUUGUAAACGUGCUUUUGUACGGUACGAAAAGGACUCUGGUUAAUACCUGGGCUCAUGACGGUACCGUAAGAAUAAGACACCGGCUAACUACGUACGCCAGCC
RNAcentral lists this ribosomal RNA (490 nucleotides) under uncultured bacterium. RNAcentral's name for it is "bacterial SSU rRNA". It matches the Rfam family "Bacterial small subunit ribosomal RNA", at positions 30 to 516 of the family's 1533-position model. The record is from RNAcentral.